GACCAGACUCCUACGGGAGGCAGCAGUGGGGAAUAUUGCACAAUGGGGGAAACCCUGAUGCAGCGACGCCGCGUGAGCGAUGAAGUAUUUCGGUAUGUAAAGCUCUAUCAGCAGGGAAGAAAAUGACGGUACCUGAAGAAGAAGCCCCGGCUAACUACGUGCCAGCAGCCGCGGUAAUACGUAGGGGGCAAGCGUUAUCCGGAUUUACUGGGUGUAAAGGGGGCGCAGACGGCGAUGCAAGCCAGGAGUGAAAGCCCGGGGCCCAACCCCGGGACUGCUCUUGGAACUGCGUGGCUGGAGUGCAGGAGGGGCAGGCGGAAUUCCUGGUGUAGCGGUGAAAUGCGUAGAUAUCAGGAGGAACACCGGUGGCGAAGGCGGCCUGCUGGACUGCAACUGACGUUGAGGCCCGAAAGCGUGGGGAGCAAACAGGAUUAGAUACCCGUGUAC
RNAcentral lists this ribosomal RNA (447 nucleotides) under uncultured bacterium. RNAcentral's name for it is "partial 16S ribosomal RNA". It matches the Rfam family "Bacterial small subunit ribosomal RNA", at positions 329 to 793 of the family's 1533-position model. The record is from RNAcentral.